Podarcis lilfordi (Lilford's wall lizard) is the source of this 76-nucleotide non-coding RNA. Lineage: Eukaryota; Metazoa; Chordata; Lepidosauria; Squamata; Lacertidae. The record is from the annotation of a GenBank genome assembly.
UGCUGGGCAUAGCUCAGUCAGUAGAGCAUGAGACUCUUAAUCACAGGAUCAUGGGUUUGAGCCCCGUAUUGGGCAA